Homo sapiens (human) is the source of this 2086-nucleotide long non-coding RNA. Ensembl annotates it as long intergenic non-protein coding RNA 293. Lineage: Eukaryota; Metazoa; Chordata; Mammalia; Primates; Hominidae. The record is from Ensembl.
GGUACUGCACAGAACAGACAUUGUGACAUAUAUCUAGGCAAAUUGCCUAGAAGUGAAUCCCCUCUCCUGCUUAAGUCCUUCCCACAGAGAGCGGUUUGAUAUGUCACUGAAACCAGCAUCCAGGUGGUAUUGCUCCAUAUGCCUGAGACCCUAACAAAAGCCUAAUUACAACUCAUAUGCCUGGAGCCAGGACAUGUGCAGGAUGCCAUGAUGGUCCAAGUUAUAUUGGGAUUCAGCCAAUAGAAGAUAUUUUGCCUGUCAUCCCUAAGCUUAGGACAAUAGACUCUGCCAAGAGAGGGGAUUAUUACAUAUUGCAGAGCCCAGCACCUAGGUGGAGUGACUCUCAUCUUUUUCUUCUACCCCGUAUAUAGCCAGCUUGGUGACCUACUAUUUGAGUCUAUACCCAGGCCCAGACCACAGAUGAAAUUGUGCAAUAUGUGGAACAAACACCUAAACAAUAUAUAACACCUUCCUUGGCUCUGUCUACAAAGGGCACUUUUAUAUAUCACUGGGACCAUCAACCAGGUGAUGUUGUGCCAUAUAACUGAGACCGUAUCAAAAGCCUAAUAACAAGACGUAUGUCUGGAGCCCCGAUAUGCACAGGAUGGUGAUAUAACCCUCUUCUCUGGAAUGGGCCCCACACAAAGGAAGGAUAGUGACAUAUUGCAAGCCCAGGCACACAGGCCCAGAGCACAGUUGAAAUUGUGACAUAUGUACACCAAGCAACCAAGCAAUGUAUAACACCUCAUUUGGCAAUGGAAUCGAGGGCACUUUUACAUAUCACUGAGACCAGCGCCCAGCUGAUGUGAAAUAUUGGCCUGAACCCUGCCUACAAAAGCAUUGUGGCUUUUAUCUAGCUCCAUUACAUAAGUGAUGUGACUUCCUUCUACUGCCUUGGCCCUGCACUUAUGGUGAAUCGUGACACAAAAUUGGGUAGAGCAACCAGCCUGGGCCCUGACCAGCACAGAGAUUGAGGCAUAUUGCUGAACCCAGGACCAAGAUGAAGUCACUCUCCUGCCUUGAUCCUGCACACAGGGACCCUUGUGACAUAUAUACAGGCCAAUUGCCUAGGUGAUGUUGUGCAAUAUACCUGAGACCAGAUCAAUGGCCUAAUAAUGACUCUUUUACCUAGAGCCAGGACAUGUGCAGGAUGGUAACUCUCAUCCCUGAACCUUUCCACAGGUGUUAUUGUCACAUAUACCUUUUCCAGCUCCAAAGUGAUUUAAUAAUCCAGCCUAGUUAUAGCCCACAGAUAAUAUUUGGACAUAUACCUGAGUCAAGAACCUUGGUGAUUUGACUCUCAUGUCUUAACAGUGUCCUCAGAAGGGAUCAUAACAUAUCUCUGGACCCAUCAUCUAGGUUAUGUGACUCUCUUCUCCUGCCUGAACCCUGCUUCCAGUGAAGAGUGUUGCAUUUCUAAGCACUGCAUCCAAAUGACAUGAGUUUCUUGCCUGGGCCGUUUCAACAGAAGGCAUUGUGACAUAUCUCUAGGUCUAUCAUUUAGGUGAUAUGACUCUCCUCUCCUGCCUGGACACUCUCCACAAGGGGCAUUAUGCCAUAGAGCUAGAGCUAGCAACCAAGUUUUGUGAAUUUUCUGUUAGGGCCUUGCCUACAAAGAGAAUUUUGGAAUAUUUCUGGCUUAGAAUUUAAGUAAUGUGGUUGUUCUGCCUGUUCAGUAACCACAGAGGAGAAGGUGAAAUAUAUCUAGGCACCGCAAACAGGCAUGAUAAUGAGUCUUGUAUGUGGACCCAGCAAAUAGGAGAAAUUUUGACUCUUAUAACUAGGUUUAGGAACAUGAGUGAUGUCCAGGAUCUCCUUCUGGUAAGAAGGUCACAGAAGAUUGCAACACUCACAAUUAUUUUGUAACACCUUUGGGUUGUAUAGGGAGUGUCGUAACAGGGCCAAACACACAGAGGAAAUUGUGACAGUCAUAUGCACACCUACCUGACAGUAAAGACUUUCACAAUCACAAAUGGAUGAAGGCAACUGUCCUACAUGAAAACAGGACAUGUGUGGUAUUGUACAUCUAAAACCUAGAAUUUUAUUCCAUUGUGACUGUGAUAUAAAUCAAUGCCAAGCACCUGCG